Molecule: unclassified non-coding RNA, 372 nt
Filed under: uncultured Flavobacteriaceae bacterium
Lineage: Bacteria; Pseudomonadati; Bacteroidota; Flavobacteriia; Flavobacteriales; Flavobacteriaceae
Description: contains 16S-23S intergenic spacer region
Source: RNAcentral
UCACGGUUUGCACCGGCAGUCCCGCCAGAGUCCCCAGCUUUACCUGUUGGCAACUGACGGCAAGGGUUGCGCUCGUUAUAGGACUUAACCUGACACCUCACGGCACGAGCUGACGACAACCAUGCAGCACCUUGCAAAAUGUCCGAAGAAAAAGGCGUCUCUGCCCCUGUCAUUCUGCAUUUAAGCCCUGGUAAGGUUCCUCGCGUAUCAUCGAAUUAAACCACAUGCUCCACCGCUUGUGCGGGCCCCCGUCAAUUCCUUUGAGUUUCAUUCUUGCGAACGUACUCCCCAGGUGGGAUACUUAUCACUUUCGCUUGGCCGCCGAACACAAGUGCCCGACAGCUAGUAUCCAUCGUUUACGGCGUGGACUAC